GGGCCCGCACAAGCGGUGGAGCAUGUGGCUUAAUUCGAGGCAACGCGAAGAACCUUACCUGGUCUUGACAUGCCCGUCAUAGUUUUCCGAAAGGAAUUCGUCAGUUCGGCUGGACGGUGCACAGGUGCUGCAUGGCUGUCGUCAGCUCGUGUCGUGAGAUGUUCGGUUAAGUCCGGCAACGAGCGCAACCCUCGUUCCUAGUUGCCAGCGGGUAAUGCCGGGGACUCUAGGAAGACAAACCUCGUGUAGAGGUGGGAAGGUGGGGACGACGUCAAGUCAGUAUGGCCCUUACGACCAGGGCUGCACACGUGCUACAAUGCCCGGCACAAUGGGAUGCAAUACCGCGAGGUUGAGCCAAUCCAUAAAACCGGGCCCAGUUCGGAUUGGAGUCUGCAACUCGACUCCAUGAAGUUGGAAUCGCUAGUAAUGGC
This 431-nucleotide ribosomal RNA is filed under the name uncultured bacterium. RNAcentral's name for it is "bacterial SSU rRNA". It matches the Rfam family "Bacterial small subunit ribosomal RNA", at positions 917 to 1345 of the family's 1533-position model. The record is from RNAcentral.